RNAcentral lists this unclassified non-coding RNA (383 nucleotides) under soil metagenome. RNAcentral describes it as "partial contains 5.8S ribosomal RNA, internal transcribed spacer 2, and large subunit ribosomal RNA". The stretch from base 1 to 120 matches the Rfam family "5.8S ribosomal RNA", at positions 35 to 154 of the family's 154-position model. The record is from RNAcentral.
GAUGAAGAACGCAGCGAAAUGCGAUAAGUAAUGUGAAUUGCAGAAUUCAGUGAAUCAUCGAAUCUUUGGACGCACAUUGCGCCCCUUGGUAUUCCUUGGGGCAUGCCUGUUCGAGCGUCACUACAAACCCGCUCAUACAUAUUAUAUGGUAUUGAUGGAAGUGGACCGUGGUUACUAAUAAUGUAUCUGGAUCACCCCAUUGAAAUGUAUAGGCAGGACAGUAAACCUCUGCAAUGGACUUAGUAACUGUUGUGAAAACAUAGACCAGUCCUUUGCCUGGUUCCAGCCUGGCCUCCAUGGACCUCUAUCCAAGAUGAACUCUGGGUUGACCUCGGAUCAGGUAGGGAUACCCGCUGAACUUAAGCAUAUCAAUAAGCGGAGGA